CAAGGUUUUAUAUUUCAGAGUAAUAUGCAACUGAAAAUUCAAUUCUCAUAAGCCACAUUUCAAAUAACAGGGCAGUUACAUACUUUGCCAUUUAAACAUAGAUCAUGUUCAAAAUACAAUUUCAUUUCCUCUUACCAAACUCAUCUCUUUACUCAAUCUCUUUCUAAUUCUUCCCUGCUACUGGUAACAGAAUGACACACAAGCCAACACACAUACUAAUGGCAAGUACCAAAAUCCUAUGUAUGCACAUCAUUUGCUCCUUAUUAAUCCUAGCAAUGACCUUCUUCUCCCUAUCACAGUGCUUCUCAGCCUCCUUCUUCUCAAGUUCUUCCUGCAACAGCUUGUUCUUCAUAGCCAGAUCACAAAUGAUUGUCUUUGCCCGGCCAUCCCAUCUUGGAUCUAUCCACUUCACAUAUUCGCAAGCCCUGAAAUCCUGAAGAUGUAAAAAAGUACUCAGUGUGAAAGACAUGAACCUUACAUUUGCUCGAAGCCAAAUCAUACAAGCCUCUGAAAUGUACCUCAUAUUGGCAACCCAGCAACCUUCAGCCAUAGUCCAUGCCUUCAUUUGCAACACGGCGAGCAGGGGAGCAGGGGGGAACAUGGCGAGCAGAAAGAAGAGGCCUCCAGAAAGAAUGGGGAUCAUCACCUGACCGCUACUUUGCUUCCACUCCUCCUUGAUGUGGUUCUGACCACCAGCGCCGGCCAUCUCACUGAGCAUCAGAGGACAAGGGAGAGCAGAGAAAUAACACCGAUGGCCUCGCCGCCUACUCUCGGUCAACAGCUCGCCGCCGGCGACAAAUCAACUACAUCCGCCGCCACCGGUGACAAAUCAACUACAUCCUCCCCGCCGCCGCCUGCAUAGGGUUAGGGAUUUGGUUUCGUGUUUUCUGAAUCGAGGGCGGGUGGUUUGGGUAUGGACGGUUAUACAGAUCAAGG
RNAcentral lists this long non-coding RNA (936 nucleotides) under Triticum aestivum (bread wheat). Its description in RNAcentral is "long non-coding RNA (TAES_LNC018060)". The record is from RNAcentral. Lineage: Eukaryota; Viridiplantae; Streptophyta; Magnoliopsida; Poales; Poaceae.